Molecule: ribosomal RNA, 474 nt
Filed under: uncultured bacterium
Lineage: Bacteria
Description: partial 16S ribosomal RNA
Rfam family: Bacterial small subunit ribosomal RNA
Source: RNAcentral
GACGAACGCUGGCGGCGUGCUUAACACAUGCAAGUCGAGCGGUAAGGCUCCUUCGGGAGUACACGAGCGGCGAACGGGUGAGUAACACGUGAGUAAUCUGCCCUUCACUUCGGGAUAACCACCGGAAACGGUGGCUAAUACCGAAUACGACCAGUCUUCGCAUGAGGUGCUGGUGGAAAGUCUUUUCGGUGAAGGAUGUGCUCGCGGCCUAUCAGCUUGUUGGUGGGGUAAUGGCCUACCAAGGCUUCGACGGGUAGCCGGCCUGAGAGGGUGACCGGCCACACUGGGACUGAGACACGGCCCAGACUCCUACGGGAGGCAGCAGUGGGGAAGAUUGGACAAUGGGCGAAAGCCUGAUCCAGCAACGCCGCGUGAGGGAUGACGGCCUUCGGGUUGUAAACCUCUUUCAGUACCGACGAAGCGCCCUGUCGGGUGGUGACGGUAGGUACAGAAGAAGGACCGGCCAACUACGUG